Mycena vitilis is the source of this 93-nucleotide non-coding RNA. The record is from the annotation of a GenBank genome assembly. NCBI's taxonomy places the organism in Eukaryota, Fungi, Basidiomycota, Agaricomycetes, Agaricales, Mycenaceae.
GUCCGUGUAGAGCAAGGUAGCUCGCCCUCCUCAGCUACAGACCUUCGUGUGUUUCGUUUGAGGGAGACGGUGGUUCGAUUCCGCCCGCGGAUU